GGAUGUGGCUUAAUCAGUAGGGUGCUCGCCUAGCAUGCGCGGGGUGCUGGGUUCGAUCCUCAGCACCA
This 68-nucleotide transfer RNA is filed under the name Marmota monax (woodchuck). RNAcentral describes it as "tRNA.Ala". The record is from RNAcentral. Lineage: Eukaryota; Metazoa; Chordata; Mammalia; Rodentia; Sciuridae.